UCGCGGUAAUGAUCAUUGCAUCCGGAGGAUGAGCUAAAACGGAGAACGAAAUAGAGAAGAGCGGAACGGACGAGUCAUCGACGAAUUUUCCUAGGUAUGCAGCCAGCAGGGAGGAUGCAACGGUCGAUGACGUGAAUCGACCGACUUUUCGGUCGAUAACUGCCCGCCACGAUUGGCAGCCUCUGAAUGGCUGGCCAACCGUCCCGUUCUCACUUCUGUCGGUGGACUGUUGUGCCCCGGUACCGGAUAACCGGCCUAUAAGUGCGUUUCCUCCGAACGAAUAAUCCUUUAUUCCGUUCGUGAUAUCCCAUUUCUCUGUAUUACCAAAUGCUGUUCGUGUACGGUUGAAGUGAUCCCCUUGACCGUCUCCGAGUUUCUUCGAGCCGCUCCCCGCUCCGCGCGAUCGUUGGAACGAGCAGUCCCCCCCACCACCGCGCCACGAGUUUCGAGAGGAGUGGGGGAAGAGGCGAGCAGAAAGGCGGGAAGAAGAACAGGGAAGAAGCGGCCUAUUCUCUGUUUGGAAUAACAGUUUGUCGAAGGUCGUUGGCGAGCAUCUUCCGUCGCGUAAUCGAAAAGUUGGAAAUAAAAGAGAGAGGAACGAAGAGAGAAGGAGUUUGUCGGAAGGUUCUUCUUUUUCUUUUUUCCUUCUCCUCCUCUCCCUUUCCCCUCACCCGUGGAAGACAAGUGGCCACUUUCUCUCUAUCCUCUCCUCAGGGGUCGGCGGAUGAAGGCAAAGUGGACGGCGAGCAACGCGGAACACCGGCUCUUUCGCUACGCGCCUCGCCCUUGAUUCAGAAGGACGGCCACGUGCACGACGACGGCGCGAGAUAAUCGGUAUCACGGGGAAUCACGUUCAUUUCCCCACCAACUACGGCCACAUGACUUGACGAUCGCCCCACCUACCGCUGUUCGUCGUUGAGCGAAAGCGGCGACAGUGGCAGCAACGUGACCGACGUGGGGAGGGCGAGCGCAUCACGACGACCACGACGACGAUCGGCGACACCAACAACGGCGACGACGACGACGACGACGACGACGACGACGACGACGGCGACGACGACGAGGAAGAAGGAAGAAGAACGGCGGAGGAGUAAGUCAUCGGUUACUACUCGCAAGGCUACUUAACGAGUGACAUAGGCCGUUGGUGGUUCAGUUAGCCGCGGACGGUCAACCCAGGUGCGAGAGUCGUUCGCGCUCUUUUAUCCUUUUUUCUUUUUCGUUAUCUCCCCCCUCCCUCUUCCGUUCUUUCUUUUCUCCCCCUUAUUCCACCUCUAUUUCGCCUUUUUUCUCGAACGACUUUUCGGGUGGGUAGAAAAAGAUUCGCCAAGAUUGGAUAGAUAGAUAGUUAGAUAGUUAGAUAGAUAGAUAGGUAGAUAAGUGUUGAUCGUGGUGACUGUGCUGGUGCCGUUGUUUGUUGUCGUUGUUCUUCGGCUCGGGAAGUAGCGGUUUUCAGUGUGGAUAGUGCGGAUAACAGUGACGAGUGUGAAACUGGAGCCGCAAGCGGUAGAAGCAGUUGCAGUCGAGAGCUAUCAUGUGCCCGCGGAGGAUCUUCGGACUGGCCAUCGUCGCGCUGGUGACUUUUGGUGGACGAGCGGCAGCCUAUACGAAUCAGUGGGCAGUGCAUAUCGAGGGGGGACCGGAUGUGGCCCAGCAGGUCGCGCGAGAGCAUGGAUUUCAAUAUCUCGAUAAGAUAGUGGACGAUUGGUACCACAUGGUGCACACGUCAGUCGUGAAGAGAUCAGCGGAACCGCAUUUCGGGGUGCAGGGGAGGCUAAUAGAGGACCGCAGAGUGCGUCGAGCUGAGCAACAACGGGUAAAAUCGAGAACGAAACGGGAUCUAAUUAUUAAACGCGGUCCGUCCAACCUGAGAACAGUUCUCAACGACGAGAUGUGGCCUCAGAUGUGGUACUUGAACAGGGGAAAGGGGUUAGAUAUGAACGUGCAGGAAGCUUGGGCUGAAGGAAUUACGGGACGCGGAGUCGUGGUCACGAUUCUUGAUGACGGAUUGGAGAAGAAUCAUCCGGAUCUUUAUAAGAACUACGACCCACAAGCCAGCUACGAUGUCAAUAACCAUGAUGAAGAUCCCAUGCCACGAUACGAUGUUCUAGACAGUAAUCGACAUGGCACCAGAUGCGCUGGUGAAGUGGCUGCAACUGCUAACAAUUCCUUGUGCGCGGUAGGAGUUGCAUUUGGAGCUGGCGUCGGGGGAGUGAGAAUGUUGGACGGGGACGUGACGGAUGCCGUGGAAGCAAGGUCUCUGAGCCUGAAUCCUCAACACAUCGAUAUUUAUAGUGCCUCAUGGGGACCUGACGACGAUGGAAAAACCGUCGAUGGUCCUGGCGAACUUGCCACUAGAGCUUUCAUCGAGGGGAUCACAAAGGGUCGCAACGGUAGAGGGUCGAUUUUCGUCUGGGCGUCGGGGAACGGCGGCAGGGAUCACGACAACUGCAACUGCGACGGUUACACGAACAGCAUCUGGACGUUGUCCAUCAGCAGCGCGACGGAGAACGGCCAGGUGCCUUGGUACAGCGAGGCGUGCUCGUCCACCCUGGCUACGACCUACAGUUCCGGUUCAUCGGGGGAGAAACAAGUGGUGACCACUGACCUGCAUCACCUUUGCACGACCAGCCACACGGGCACGUCUGCAUCGGCGCCCUUGGCAGCCGGUAUAUGCGCCCUCGCCCUCGAGGCCAACAGAGAUCUGACUUGGAGGGAUAUGCAACACAUCGUCGUGAGGACAGCGAAACCUGCCAAUCUGAAAGCUAUGGAUUGGGUGACCAAUGGUGUUGGACGAAACGUGAGCCACAGUUUUGGUUAUGGCUUAAUGGAUGCAGCUGCCAUGGUGCGGUUGGCCAAAAGAUGGCGAACAGUACCGGAACAACACAAAUGCGAGGUGUCAGCACCACACAUGGGCAGGCCAAUACCACCAAAGAGCCAGCUAACUCUGGAAUUGCACGUCAAGGAGUGUAGCGGCGUUAAUUUUCUCGAGCACGUGCAAGCAAAGGUUUCAUUGAUGGCGUCGAGAAGAGGGGAUCUUCAGAUACAACUAACAUCUCCACAAGGUACAAAGAGUACCCUUCUUGCAAAAAGGUCACACGACGUCUCGAAGGCUGGUUUCAAUCAAUGGCCAUUUAUGUCGGUUCACACUUGGGGAGAAAGGCCACACGGCACGUGGAAACUUGAAAUCCACAAUGAGGGUCGAUACCAAGGUCGCGCCACGCUUCACGAAUGGGCGUUGAUAUUUUACGGGACGUCGACGCUUCCCGAUCGCACGGAAUACGCGUUGUACAAUCCCGCCGGGAUGAACAUACCGAGAAGGCCAUUCGUCAAACCGCGCGAGACAGUGUUCUCCAAGGCUCAGAACUCUCUCACGAGCUCGAAGAUCAAGCAGAGCCAGCACAAGUCGGAGAAGCCGGGUAGUCUCAGCCCGCCUUACGUGGUGAACGCCCAGAUACAGUCGCAGAGGAAGAGCAAGGCGCGCGGCCAGCACAAAAAUGGCAAAUCGGCCAAUAAACCGACCCCGAAGCCGACCGUGCAGACGUUGAGGGGGUUGACCGUGGCGAGGGGGCCUAACGUCGCGGGGGAGGUACGCCUGAUCACGUCCAGGCCACGAGGGAGGAGCACACCAAGCCCUGUCACGACCACUGUCGCGCACCAAACCAGUCCGCCCACCGCUGUUCCAACCACAAAAGUGGCCAGCAGGCAAAGAAUCGUGGACGUGGCGACUGCCUCGUCCCUUCAGAGGGGUUUGAUCCUCUUGGAGCCACCAGCGAAACCUGCCAUCAACAACGUGCCAGCCAUUUUCCAACAGUAUCCCAAGAUUCAACAGCUCUAUCCAUUGUAUCCUGUCUAUCCCGGGGUUAGAGGAGCCGGCCAGCAACACGCGACCAGGGCCAAGGGGUUGGAAUUGCUGCAGGAUGAACAGUUCGAUUCGAAGAACUUGGAUAAGGACACCCUCGACGAGUUCAAGCUAGUGUUCUACGGCACGGAAACGUCGUUGGAAUUCGACGACGAGUUGGACAAGGACAAACCGUUGCCACCGGUGAACCAGCAGGACGUGAGCCAGGACAAUACGGCGAUAGGCGCGAGGCACAACGUGAUGGACACGGAGGGUGGUCCGUGGACAGGUAGCCAACAGGUGGAGCGCGUGUCCCAUCCGGAAGUGCAGAGGCCCACGACCGAGAACCAGACGAGCGGUUGCAGCGGCAUCGACACUGGAAAUGGCAGGUGCCUAGAGUGUAAGCCGAGCUGGUACUACCACGACGGAAUCUGCGUGCACAAGUGCCCUAGAGGAACUUACGGCGUUUCUGACGAGUCAAAGGCGGUUUGCUCCGGCUGCCAUUACUCCUGCCUAACUUGUUCAGGACCUUCGAACACCGAGUGCACCAGUUGCCACGAGGACGCCGAGUUUUCGUCGAGCCUCGACGAGUCCGUCUGCAUCCUACGCGACCUCACCUGGACCAUGCACUCCACCUUCUGGUUCUACCGGAUGACCAUUCUGUUCUCGACCAGCGUCCUUUUGUUCAUCGUGAUAAUCAUGUACGUGGGUGUCAAGUGGUAUCUAAAGAACAGAAAUUCGUACAGAUACAGCAAGGUGUACUCCUCGAGCAAUGGGGACGCGCGCAAGGACAAUUUGCAAAAUGGUUACAUCUCUGAUAGUGAAUAAAGAAAAUGAACAUUGAGAAGAGAGAAUAAUAUUGAACGAGUCAGAGAUAUUUCAAGAUUAUGGAUAAGAAUAUUUCGAUGGCAUGUGAUGUUUCGUUUAUGGUGUAAUUGAAUAGUUAUAAUUGUGAAGUUGAUAAGAGUUUGUAAGGAUGAUUCGAUUCGAGGAGAAAGGAGGAUUCCGUCCUUCCAGUUUGCCACGUUCCAAUUCACGUAUGUCAAGUAAAGAGUUGUUAAUGAUCUCCCAGUGAAUAUCGAGAGUGCAUUUACGUUGUGAUUUCACGAGGUUAUACGCAAAGUAUUUAAAGAAAAUUGUGGGAUUUUAAGAGCUUUUAGUACUCGUAGUAUGUUUAAGUUUUGAAAUCAAUUCGAUUCGAUUUUUUUGUUUCUUUUUUAUUAACGAGUACUAUAAGUUUUUAAAUUUUGAUACUCUUAUUUUUCUGACAUCCCGUCUUACCACGAAUGAAAUGAAGUAGAAUAGACUUAUUAUUAUUAGAAAUAAUCACACACAAUUUUAUAAUUUAUAUGUUAUCGAACUUGAUAUUUAAUCAAAUUAAAUCAUUCCACGUGCGUGUACGUAAGAUUUUCUUGGAAUUUUCUUUGGAAAUUCCAAGAUUCAUAAUUUAAGUUCGCCGUUACUUUUAAAUUGUGAAAAUUUGCAAAGAUUUACGAGAAUUUUAAAUACGUAAUAGAUAGUUCUUAAUACGUAAAUAGAGUAUAAGUUUAGAAUUUAAAAAUUGUAAAAAUUUACACAACAGGUUUUCUUAAUUUAAAUUAAAGCUUAAAGCUCGACGUUCGGAAUUGUCGGAAAUUUUAAUCGAGACACGGAUUGAGUUUAUCGAGUUUCGAUUUUCAGUUGAAUUAACAUUUAAUAAUUAAGUGUGCGUAGCCAUUAUUCGAUCAUCGUUAAGGGGAUAAACUAAAUUACACACAGCGUCUAGUGUAUCUUGUGCUCGUCGAUAAUCAAAAUUAAAAUUGCAUUAUAUUCUGCAACUAACUGUAACACAAUUUGCUGUCCGAGUUCCUAGACCGCACUAGAGCACAUUGUAAUUAAUUGAUACACCGGUCAAAUUGCUAUGUGAUACUAUUUAUAUAAAUUGCAUUAAACAUACGAGACGCAAAUAAAGUAUAAUAGCAUUUCCUAACGACCAAAGACUGUUGCACAACUGCUCAGUUAAGAGUGAAUCCUAGAUAUAUAAAAUCAAAAGUGAAUAUUAAAAUUAAU
This 5887-nucleotide long non-coding RNA is filed under the name Apis mellifera (honey bee). Its description in RNAcentral is "furin-like protease 1, transcript variant X3". The record is from RNAcentral. Lineage: Eukaryota; Metazoa; Arthropoda; Insecta; Hymenoptera; Apidae.